RNAcentral lists this ribosomal RNA (720 nucleotides) under uncultured bacterium. RNAcentral describes it as "bacterial SSU rRNA". It matches the Rfam family "Bacterial small subunit ribosomal RNA", at positions 407 to 1130 of the family's 1533-position model. The record is from RNAcentral.
GAAGACAGCCCUAUGGGUCGUAAACUGCUUUUAUACAGGAAGAAUAAGGGGCACGUGUGCCCUGGUGACGGUACUGUAAGAAUAAGGACCGGCUAACUCCGUGCCAGCAGCCGCGGUAAUACGGAGGGUCCAAGCGUUAUCCGGAAUUAUUGGGUUUAAAGGGUCCGCAGGCGGGCAAUUAAGUCAGAGGUGAAAGGCUGCGGCUUAACCGUAGCACUGCCUUUGAUACUGGUUGUCUUGAAUUACGGUGAAGUGGCCGGAAUAUGUAGUGUAGCGGUGAAAUGCAUAGAUAUUACAUAGAACACCGAUCGCGAAGGCAGGUCACUAACCGUAUAUUGACGCUGAUGGACGAAAGCGUGGGGAGCGAACGGGAUUAGAUACCCCGGUAGUCCACGCCGUAAACGAUGGAUACUAGCUGUCGGAUCUUCGGAUUCGGCGGCCAAGCGAAAGUGAUAAGUAUCCCACCUGGGGAGUACGUUCGCAAGAAUGAAACUCAAAGGAAUUGACGGGGGCCCGCACAAGCGGUGGAGCAUGUGGUUUAAUUCGAUGAUACGCGAGGAACCUUACCAGGGCUUAAAUGCAUUACGACAGGGGUAGAGAUACCCUUUUCUUCGGACGUUUUGCAAGGUGCUGCAUGGUUGUCGUCAGCUCGUGCCGUGAGGUGUCAGGUUAAGUCCUAUAACGAGCGCAACCCUUGCCGUCAGUUGCCAGCAAGUAAUG